GAUGAACGCUGGCGGCGUGCCUAAUACAUGCAAGUCGAGCGAACAGACGAGGAGCUUGCUCCUCUGACGUUAGCGGCGGACGGGUGAGUAACACGUGGAUAACCUACCUAUAAGACUGGGAUAACUUCGGGAAACCGGAGCUAAUACCGGAUAAUAUAUUGAACCGCAUGGUUCAAUAGUGAAAGACGGUUUUGCUGUCACUUAUAGAUGGAUCCGCGCCGCAUUAGCUAGUUGGUAAGGUAACGGCUUACCAAGGCAACGAUGCGUAGCCGACCUGAGAGGGUGAUCGGCCAAACUGGAACUGAGACACGGUCCAGACUCCUACGGGAGGCAGCAGUAGGGAAUCUUCCGCAGUGGGCGAAAGCUUGACGGAGCAACGCCGCGUGAGUGAUGAAGGUCUUCGGAUCGUAAAACUCUGUUAUUAGGGAAGAACAAAUGUGUAAGUACUAUGCACGUCUUGACGGUACCUAAUCAGAAAGCCACGGCUAACUACGUG
This 496-nucleotide ribosomal RNA is filed under the name uncultured bacterium. RNAcentral's name for it is "partial 16S ribosomal RNA". It matches the Rfam family "Bacterial small subunit ribosomal RNA", at positions 28 to 507 of the family's 1533-position model. The record is from RNAcentral.